CGAGCCGGCCGGCCGCCAGGCUCUGCUUGAGCCCUCCGGGUCAGCCCUGCCCCUCUCCGUCGAGCCCCGCCCCCGCCGGCCACGCGCUGCUCAGCAGAGCCGCGCGGCGGCGGGACUUAUUUGGUGCUGCGCGGUCUGUGAGCUGCGGUCGCGCUCGGUUCGUCUCGCUGCUGGGGGCCUGGCUGGACGCGAUCUUUAACUUUGAGGCGCGAGUGCCCAAGUCCUUCCGAUGACUCCGGGGACGUUGCCUCAUGUCCUACAGCGCCAGAGGCCUGGCGGGGUCGUCGACCCUGGUCUGCUGGACAACGGGGACAGCGAGGUCCCUGGCGUCGCCGGAUCCUGCUCGCCGGACCCUGCUCCGGAGUGGCACGUCCGACCGGCGGUGUGCAGAGCAGCCCGCAGGGUCCCCAGGUCCCCCAGGCCCGACAGCAGCUCGCCACGGCGGAGAUGAGGUGUACGGGGGGGGGGGGCGCUUUUUGCUGCCAUGCUGUCUGUCUUGCUAAUGAAUGAAUGGAUCUUGAGAUCCAAGACAACUGAUUACCCCCAACCAUCUCAGUCCCGUUUUACGACCGCACCUCCAUUCUUCCCUGCCAAGAACCCGGAGUCAGCCUGGCGUGGUGGCGCACACCUGGAAUCCCAGGACUUGGGAGGCUGAGGCAGGAGGAUCGCCACGAGUUCCAGGCCAGCCAGGGCUACAUAGUUCAAGGGCAGCCUGAACUACAUAGCGAGACCCUGUCUCAAAACAAAAAAAGAACCCAAAGUCGUCCUGUCCGCCCCGUCUUAGUUUCUUGAGCUGAUCCGGAGUCCGGCCCCGCGAUGACCCCGGGGCUGCCCAGCCGACACCCCCACCCUGCGCCCUGGUUCACGGCCACAUCCUCCUCCCGGAGUGCGGGUCCUCACCGGUCCUGGUCCACGCCUUGCCAGAGUGCUUUGUAAAAUGAGCAUGUGACUGGGUCAUUUGUGUUUAGCAAAGUCCCAUAGCGCCCUGUUUCUCUUAGGAUGAAAUUUAGCGCACAGGAAAAGAGAAUGUUAGACUUAUACCUGAUAUUUUUAGCAAGAGAAGCCAAAAGGCAGUAGGAUAACAUCAAACGCCUGGAGAGAAAAUAAUCAUCAUCCUAGAAUUAGGUAUCCAGUGAAAAGAUCUUUCAAGAACUGUGUAUCCACUGAAAAUAUCUUUGUAGAAUGAGAGUGAAAUAAUGACAUUCACAAAUACAAACACUAAGACUUUGUCCCUCCCUAAGGGGAAUUCCAACGGAGGAAUUUCGGGGAUGGAGGAAGAUGAUCAGACUGAGGUCUGUUGCAAUACGGAAGAAAAAACAAUGAAGACCAUUGAUAAUAUAAAAUAGCAACUGUCUUCUGGAUAAAAAUAGAAUUAAAAUACGCAAUAGUCGUGGCAUAUAAACUUGACUGGGUGGAGGUACCGCGUUCUAAGACCUGACAUUCUUCAGAAAGAAAGUGAAGAUAGGGGCGGAGAUUUAGCUCAGUGGAAGGAACCGCGCCUGCCUGAAAGCCCAAGGUCCUGAGUUCAAUCCCCGGUUCCAAAAAAAAAGAAAGAAAGAAAGUGAAGACGGCUGAGCUGAAAAUCCAAGUUGCCAUCACUAAGAAAAACAGAGAAUGGGAAUACAGUGUGUGAUAUUUAUCUAAAUUAUUGGAAUAAAAAAAACCAACCCAAGCAAUCCUGAGGCCAGCAGGAAAAAAUAAAUACAACUGGUGGGACAAAAAGAUGAUAGGUAUUCACUCAAAGAUUCUGUAAUUGAGUCCUCCCUUCCAAGAUGACCAAAAAAAGAAGGAACAACAGUCGUGCCAAAAAUGGCCGCGGCUGUGUGCAGCCUGUUCGCUGCACGAACUGCGCCCGGUGCGUGCCCAAGGAUAAGGCCAUUAAGUCCCUCAUUCGAAACAUGGUAGAGGCCACCACGUCAGGGACAUUUCCAAAGCGAGUGUCUUCGACUCUCAUGUGCUUCCCAAGGUCUAUGUGAAGCCGCAUUAUGGUGUGAGUUGUGCCAUUCACAGCAAGGUGGUCAGGAAUCGAUCCCCUGAAGCCCGGAAGGACCUAACACCUCCGCCCCGAUUUAGACCUGCUGGUGCUGCCCCACGACCCCCACUAAAGCCCAUGUAAAGACCUGAGUUUUAAUGGACUGAAGAAAAGUCGUCUCCGGGCAGAGGGAAUGAACUAAUAAAAUGGACGUUAUACUUUAAAAUAAAAAACGAAACCAUGAGCUCUCUAUCAAAAGACUAUAUAGUGAACUGAGAAGCAAAAUAUUUUAAACUCUCAUAAAUUGACAAAGUAGGCCAGGUGUGGUGGCACACGCCUGUAACCCAGGCUACUGGAGAGGCUGAGGGAGGAGGAUCACAAGUUUGGGGUCCACCCGGGCAACUUAGCAAGACCCUGUAUCAAAAAUAAAGUCUGGGGCCGGGGAUUUAGCUCAGUGGUGCCACCGCGUGCCUUGCAAGCGCAAGGUCCCAAGUUCAAUCCCCGGUACCAAAAAAAAAACCCCCAAAAUAAAGACAGUCUUGGGUGGUAGAUCAGUGGUACAGAGCUUUCCUGGCCUGUGUGAUCCCUGGAUUUACUCCCCAGUACUGCAAAAUAAGUAAAUACAAGAGCUGAUCAAAAAUACACUGUGCAGGGCCGGGUAUUUAGCUCGGUGACACCGUGCCUGCCGCACAAGUGCAAGGUCCUGAGUUUGAUCCCUAGUACCAAAAAAAAAAAAAAAAAAAAAAAAAUACACUGUGCAUUUAAAUUUUUUAAAAAUUUGUGUUUAUGAGGUGUGAUCAAAAACAUGGUGAAUUCUGCUGCUGUCAGGUGCCAUCUGACGUAAAGGCAAGCUCAUAAAAAUAUUACAGCA
Molecule: long non-coding RNA, 2843 nt
Organism: Heterocephalus glaber (naked mole-rat)
Lineage: Eukaryota; Metazoa; Chordata; Mammalia; Rodentia; Bathyergidae
Source: Ensembl